RNAcentral lists this unclassified non-coding RNA (405 nucleotides) under soil metagenome. RNAcentral describes it as "partial contains 5.8S ribosomal RNA, internal transcribed spacer 2, and large subunit ribosomal RNA". The stretch from base 1 to 121 matches the Rfam family "5.8S ribosomal RNA", at positions 35 to 154 of the family's 154-position model. The record is from RNAcentral.
GAUGAAGAACGCAGCGAAAUGCGAUAAGUAAUGUGAAUUGCAGAAUUCAGUGAAUCAUCGAAUCUUUGAACGCACCUUGCGCCCUUUGGCCAUUCCGAAGGGCAUGCCUGUUUGAGUAUCAUGAACACCUCAACUCUUUAUGGUUUUCCAUGAUGAGCUUGGACUCUGGGGGUUUUGCUGGCUCACAGUCGGCUCCUCUAAAAUGAAUUAGCUUACCAGUGUUUGGUGGGUAUCAUGGGUGUGAUAACUAUCUACGCUUGUGGUUUUUCCACCAGGUAACCUUCAGCAGUGGAGGUUCGCUGGAGCUCAUAGAUGUCUCUCCUCAGUGAGGACAGCCCUUUGAAUGUUUGAUCUCAAAUCAGGUAGGACUACCCGCUGAACUUAAGCAUAUCAAUAAGCGGAGGA